GCUGGUGUAGCUCAGCUGGCUAGAGCAGCUGAUUUGUAAUCAGCAGGUCGGGGGUUCGAGUCCCUUCACCAGCU
Molecule: transfer RNA, 74 nt
Filed under: hydrothermal vent metagenome
Description: tRNA-Thr-TGT
Rfam family: tRNA
About the family: Transfer RNA (tRNA) molecules are approximately 80 nucleotides in length.
Source: RNAcentral